CGUGUAGGCGGAUUAUUAAGCUUGAUGUGAAAGACAGUAGCUCAACUACUGGAACGCAUUGGGAACUGGUAGUCUAGAGUUUUGGAGGGGUAGUUGGAAUUCCUAGUGUAGGGGUGAAAUCUGUUGAUAUUAGGAAGAACACCGGUGGCGAAGGCGAACUACUGGCCAAAAACUGACGCUGAGGCGCGAAAGCAUAGGGAGCGAACAGGAUUAGAUACCCUGGUAGUCC
This 229-nucleotide ribosomal RNA is filed under the name uncultured bacterium. Its description in RNAcentral is "partial 16S ribosomal RNA". It matches the Rfam family "Bacterial small subunit ribosomal RNA", at positions 568 to 796 of the family's 1533-position model. The record is from RNAcentral.